UACGGGAGGCAGCAGUGGGGAAUAUUGCACAAUGGGCGCAAGCCUGAUGCAGCCAUGCCGCGUGUAUGAAGAAGGCCUUCGGGUUGUAAAGUGCUUUCAGCGAGGAGGAAGGCAUUAAGGUUAAUAACCUUGGUGAUUGACGUUACUCGCAGAAGAAGCACCGGCUAACUCCGUGCCAGCAGCCGCGGUAAU
Molecule: ribosomal RNA, 192 nt
Filed under: uncultured bacterium
Lineage: Bacteria
Also listed under: 1 other name
Description: partial 16S ribosomal RNA
Rfam family: Bacterial small subunit ribosomal RNA
Source: RNAcentral